CCUGGUCUAUGAUGAUUCCUGAGUCUGGAGACUGUUGGAUGAGUCCUGCGGAUAUGGGGCUGAGGCCAGGC
Camarhynchus parvulus is the source of this 71-nucleotide small nucleolar RNA. Lineage: Eukaryota; Metazoa; Chordata; Aves; Passeriformes; Thraupidae. The record is from Ensembl.